AAUACGACCGUACCGCAAACCGACACUGGUGCGCGAGAUGAGUAUUCUAAGGCGCUUGAGAGAACUCAGGAGAAGGAACUCGGCAAAUUGACACCGUAACUUCGGAAGAAGGUGUGCCCUAUUAGUGUGUAGUGAACAACGAAGCAUGAAUGGGUUGCAAAAAAUCGGUGGCUGCGACUGUUUAUUAAAAACACAGCACUCUGCAAACACGAAAGUGGACGUAUAGGGUGUGACGCCUGCCCGGUGCUGGAAGAUUAAAUGAUGGGGUGCAAGCUCUUGAUUGAAGUCCCAGUAAACGGCGGCCGUAACUAUAACGGUCCUAAGGUAGCGAAAUUCCUUGUCGGGUAAGUUCCGACCUGCACGAAUGGCGUAACGAUGGCCACACUGUCUCCUCCUGAGACUCAGCGAAGUUGAAAUGUUUGUGAUGAUGCAAUCUCCCCGCGGAAAGACGGAAAGACCCCAUGAACCUUUACUGUAGCUUUGUAUUGGACUUUGAACAGAUCUGUGUAGGAUAGGUGGGAGGCUUUGAAGCAGGGUCGCUAGAUCUUGUGUAGCCAACGUUGAAAUACCACCCUGGUGUGUUUGAGGUUCUAACCUAGGUCCAUUAUCUGGAUCGGGGACAGUGCAUGGUAGGCAGUUUGACUGGGGCGGUCUCCUCCCAAAGCGUAACGGAGGAGUUCGAAGGUACGCUAGUUACGGUCGGACAUCGUGACGAUAGUGCAAUGGCAUAAGCGUGCUUAACUGCGAGACUGACAAGUCGAGCAGAUGCGAAAGCAGGACAUAGUGAUCCGGUGGUUCUGUAUGGAAGGGCCAUCGCUCAACGGAUAAAAGGUACUCUGGGGAUAACAGGCUGAUACCGCCCAAGAGUUCAUAUCGACGGCGGUGUUUGGCACCUCGAUGUCGGCUCAUCUCACCCUGGGGCUGUAGCCGGUCCCAAGGGUAUGGCUGUUCGCCAUUUAAAGAGGUACGUGAGCUGGGUUUAAAACGUCGUGAGACAGUUUGGUCCCUAUCUUCCGUGGGCGCUGCAGAUUUGAGGAAGCCUGCUCCUAGUACGAGAGGACCGGAGUGGACACACCUCUGGUGUAUCGGUUGUCACGCCAGUGGCAUUGCCGAGUAGCUAAGUGUGGAAGAGAUAACCGCUGAAAGCAUCAAGCGGGAAACUCGUUUCAAGAUGAGAUCUGCCGGGGCCUUGAGCCCCCUAAAGAGUCGUUCAAGACCAGGACGUUGAUAGGUCAGGUGUGGAAGC
This 1246-nucleotide ribosomal RNA is filed under the name metagenome. RNAcentral's name for it is "bacterial LSU rRNA". It matches the Rfam family "Bacterial large subunit ribosomal RNA", at positions 1635 to 2874 of the family's 2925-position model. The record is from RNAcentral.